This 89-nucleotide transfer RNA is filed under the name Candidatus Heimdallarchaeota archaeon. RNAcentral's name for it is "tRNA-Ser". It matches the Rfam family "tRNA". Rfam says of the family: Transfer RNA (tRNA) molecules are approximately 80 nucleotides in length. Their secondary structure includes four short double-helical elements and three loops (D, anti-codon, and T loops). Lineage: Archaea; Promethearchaeati; Candidatus Heimdallarchaeota. RNAcentral also lists the same sequence under 2 other names. The record is from RNAcentral.
GCCAAGGUAGUCAAGCACGGACCACGACGCUGGUCUUGAAAACCAGUUCCUUCACGGGAGCGCGAGUUCAAAUCUCGUCCUUGGCACCA